RNAcentral lists this ribosomal RNA (320 nucleotides) under uncultured eukaryote. RNAcentral's name for it is "partial 18S ribosomal RNA". It matches the Rfam family "Eukaryotic small subunit ribosomal RNA", at positions 1470 to 1796 of the family's 1831-position model. The record is from RNAcentral.
CCCUUAGAUGUCCUGGGCCGCACGCGCGCUACACUGAUGCAUUCAACGAGUUCUUCCUGGUCCGAGAGGAAUGGGUAACCUUUUGAAAGUGCAUCGUGCUAGGGAUAGACUAUUGCAAUUAUUGGUCUUCAACGAGGAAUUCCUAGUAGACGUAGUUCAUCAGACUGCAUCGAUUACGUCCCUGCCCUUUGUACACACCGCCCGUCGCUCCUACCGAUUGGAUGAUCCGGUGAGCUAUUCGGACCUGUGCAUUUUCCAUUGGAACUUGCGUGGGAAAGUCUCGCGAACCUUAUCAUCUAGAGGAAGGAGAAGUCGUAACA